AGAAGAGGAGAGCUGUGUUUUAAGAGUGAAAACUGACGGGAGAAGAGAAGAAAAGGGGAGGAAGAAGAAGAGAAAAGAGGGAAAGAUAAGGAAAGGAGAAGAGAAUUGGAGGAAAUAAGUUUAAAGGUUCUCCUAACGAUCCUCAAUAGGUUUUUCGGGUCUUUCAUCUGACAUUCCUUUUAGUUCUAUAUUUUUCGGGUUCUUAGUUUCUGAUAGCAGGUGAACCUUGUUGAGUGUUCCUGCUUCUUCAGUUUUGGGUUGGUAUGCCUUGCUUAUCUUUCAAGGCUAUUUGAUUCGAUGUCUUAGGCGCUCCACUAU
Long non-coding RNA from Populus nigra (black poplar), 318 nucleotides. RefSeq lists it as uncharacterized. Lineage: Eukaryota; Viridiplantae; Streptophyta; Magnoliopsida; Malpighiales; Salicaceae. The record is from RefSeq and is a predicted model, not a curated record. The transcript is spliced from 3 exons.